Molecule: ribosomal RNA, 779 nt
Filed under: uncultured bacterium
Lineage: Bacteria
Description: bacterial SSU rRNA
Rfam family: Bacterial small subunit ribosomal RNA
Source: RNAcentral
CGCGAAAGUCCCCUUCGGGGGAUGAGUAGAGUGGCGCACGGGUGAGUAACACGUAGGUAAUCUACCUUUGGGUGGGGAAUAACAGCCGGAAACGGCUGCUAAUACCGCAUAGUGCAGCGGCUCGACAUCGAGACAGUUGUUAAAGCGGGGGAUCGCAAGACCUCGCGCCUAAAGAGGAGCCUGCGGCAGAUUAGCUAGUUGGUAAGGUAAUGGCUUACCAAGGCGACGAUCUGUAACCGGCCUGAGAGGGCGGUCGGUCACACUGACACUGACAUACGGGUCAGACUCCUACGGGAGGCAGCAGUCGGGAAUUUUGGGCAAUGGGCGAAAGCCUGACCCAGCAACGCCGCGUGAAGGAUGAAAUCCCUCGGGAUGUAAACUUCGCAAGAAUGGGAAGAAUAAGUGGGGGACAAUACCCCCCAUGAUGACGGUACCAUUUGUAAGCUCCGGCUAACUCCGUGCCAGCAGCCGCGGUAAUACGGGGGGAGCAAGCGUUGUUCGGAUUUACUGGGCGUAAAGGGCGCGUAGGCGGUCGUGACAAGUCACUUGUGAAAUCUCCGGGCUUAACUCGGAACGGUCAAGUGAUACUGUCGGACUAGAGUACAGAAGGGGCAACUGGAAUUCUCGGUGUAGCGGUGAAAUGCGUAGAUAUCGAGAGGAACACCUGCGGCGAAGGCGGGUUGCUGGGCUGAUACUGACGCUGAGGCGCGAAAGCCAGGGGAGCGAACGGGAUUAGAUACCCCGGUAGUCCUGGCCUAAACGAUGAAUGCUUGGUGUCU